CCUACGGGUGGCAGCAGUGGGGAAUAUUGGACAAUGGGCGAAAGCCUGAUCCAGCCAUGCCGCGUGUGUGAAGAAGGCCUUCGGGUUGUAAAGCACUUUCAGUGGGGAAGAAAGCCUUGGGGCUAAUACCCUCGAGGAAGGACAUCACCCACAGAAGAAGCACCGGCUAACUCCGUGCCAGCAGCCGCGGUAAUAUGGAGGGUGCGAGCGUUAAUCGGAAUUACUGGGCGUAAAGCGCGCGUAGGCGGUCUGAUAAGCCGGUUGUGAAAGCCCCGGGCUCAACCUGGGAACGGCAUCCGGAACUGUCAGGCUAGAGUGCAGGAGAGGAAGGUAGAAUUCCCGGUGUAGCGGUGAAAUGCGUAGAGAUCGGGAGGAAUACCAGUGGCGAAGGCGGCCUUCUGGACUGACACUGACGCUGAGGUGCGAAAGCGUGGGUAGCAAACAGGAUUAGAUACCCCGGUAGUC
RNAcentral lists this ribosomal RNA (465 nucleotides) under Vreelandella stevensii. RNAcentral's name for it is "partial 16S ribosomal RNA". It matches the Rfam family "Bacterial small subunit ribosomal RNA", at positions 338 to 795 of the family's 1533-position model. Lineage: Bacteria; Pseudomonadati; Pseudomonadota; Gammaproteobacteria; Oceanospirillales; Halomonadaceae. The record is from RNAcentral.